This 1393-nucleotide long non-coding RNA is filed under the name Marmota monax (woodchuck). Lineage: Eukaryota; Metazoa; Chordata; Mammalia; Rodentia; Sciuridae. The record is from RNAcentral.
CAUGAACCUCUACAUUUGGCAAGAGUCUGCAUGUAUAGUAGGGAUGGGGACUUAGAUGAUCUUCAGGAAGCUAUGAGCCCACUGAAUCAUAUAUAAAAUUUUAUGUCUUUGUCUGAGAGAGGGUUACUAGUUUUCAUCAGAGCCUCAAAGUGGUUUGUGACCAGAAAAGGUACAGGUGUCAGGUUGUGGGUUAAAGAAUGUAUAUUGGCAAGCUGGGCCUCAAAGCAGGGAGCCACAGAUGCUGUGGGAGAUAAGCAUGGCAGAGGAAUCUAAAAUCAGAUACCAUGCUCAUUUAGGAAGACCCCCAAAUACACAGUGAAAGAUGGCACCUGCAGGUCUCAAUUUUCCAUAUCAGAUUUUCUUGAUGAGAGCCAGGUGUCAAUUCCAAUUUGACUCAACUGUUGGUGCCUAUCAUUUACCUGCUCAGCCACUGUUUCAGACUGCAUAAUUGGCCAUCAGGCUUCUGGAAAGCUGUGUUCUAUUCAUUGCCUAUUCUGUUCAGGUAGUCACUGGGUACAUGCUUUGGGGUUUAUAUUUUGUCCCUGGUGAGUGGAGCUUGCUCUCUCUCCUGCUUUCUUGUUGCUAUGUCCUGACCUGCUUUCCUGGGGCACACUCUUUUACCAUGAUUUUCUGCCUCACCGUGGCUCAGAGCAAAGUAAUUGGCCUUCUGUGGACUGAAAUCUCUGAAAUUGAGACAAAAAACUUUUCCUCUUCUAAUUGUUCUUUUAAAGGCUUUCAGAGAUGAAAAAAAAUGAUUAAAACACCAUUUUACUGCUAGGCUAGUGAAGUGUAGGUAAAAAGUGGGGGGUUUUGAUGCUUGUGUUGACCUCUUAGCUCGACCACUUACUUAGUGUGAACCUAAGCCAUUUCCUAAGGCUUGGUUUUAUUUCUAUAAAAUCAAGACAAUUGCUGGGCAUGGUGACACAUGCCUAUAACCCCAGCAACUAGAGGCUAAGGCAGGAGGGUCACAAGUUCAAAACCAGCCUCAGCAACUUAAUAGUGAGAUCUCUGUCUCAAAAAAUAAUUUAAAAAGGGGGGCUAGGGAUGUAGCUCGGUGGUUAAGCACUCCUGGGUUUAUUCUCCAGUACUCAAAUAAAAAGUCAUGACAAAGAGAAUCUGCCAUAUUCAGUUGCCAAAAGAAGUAAUAUGAAAAAGUGUGUCGGGGGGGUAUCCAGCACAUGUAAGUGCUCCAUAAUAGGGAGCUGAAAGUGUUGAUGUAUUAUAACUUUUAUGUGGAGAAACAGGCUCACUUGCCUAAAGAGUACAAUGAAAGCACCUAUCUGUCCAGCAUAAAAAUCCUAUACUUGGGCUGAAGUUGUAGCUCAGUGCAAGAACAUGUGCUCAGCAAUGUACAAGGCCCUGCGUUCAAUCUUCAGGACAAAUAAAUGACUAA